UUUUUGACCAGAGUAUCUUCUUGUUUGUAUCUGCAACUAUAUCAGCUCCUACAGAAAUCUACUUAGCUCUCAUUUUUGAGGCAGAGAGUAAAGCGGGUGAAUACUUAUACAGAAGAACUCUAAAUAUACCUUAACGCUGCCCAGAGUUAUCUUCCAUAUUUAAUCUACUAUGUGCCACCUUCUUCGGAAUUCAUUCUUUCAGCGUCUGAGAUUUUCCUGAGGGGCACAAAUUCAUUAUUGGUAGCUGGUACACUAGAUGCAUCGCUCACCAUCCAGGAACUGACAUGAUAAAGCUUCAAAGAAUCAGGCUUAACCAUAAAGUAACUGGUGCUUUAUGAGAGCGGAAGGGCGAUCUCUGGCAAAGCCAUUUCUGCAGGCUCUUAAAACCCGUGAUCCUUUUC
RNAcentral lists this long non-coding RNA (401 nucleotides) under Bos taurus (domestic cattle). RNAcentral describes it as "long non-coding RNA NONBTAT025939". The record is from RNAcentral. Lineage: Eukaryota; Metazoa; Chordata; Mammalia; Artiodactyla; Bovidae.